UAGGGAUGGCUUUUUUAUAUGUGGGGUAUGGGUUGUCUGAAAAUUUGUUGUAUUGUCUUUGCGGUUGUGGUCCCCCAUGUCCCCCAUAGUUAUACUUAGAUCCUGUUGUCGUUAUCACUUUAUUAAUCGGUGUCUUUUGUCCUUUUAUGGUUAUUGGUAGGUGUAGCAUAUUGUUUACGGUUACGGUGUUGUGAGUGAUGGACCAUAUCGAAGUAGUUAUUCAUCAUGGGAGAAAGUUCGUGAAUGAGGGAUGCUUAAAGUAUGAAGGGCUAAUUGAGACAUUUGUAUUUGAUCCUGACGUAUGGAGUUUUUUUGUGGUAGUGAGUGUAGUAAAAAGUCUAGGGUACGAUGGU
This 353-nucleotide long non-coding RNA is filed under the name Vigna radiata. Its description in RNAcentral is "long non-coding RNA (VRAD_LNC009670)". Lineage: Eukaryota; Viridiplantae; Streptophyta; Magnoliopsida; Fabales; Fabaceae. The record is from RNAcentral.